GGGGAUGUAGCUCAGUGGUAAAGCACUUGCCUAGCAUUCAUGAGAUCCUGGGUUUGAUCUCCAGCAUUGCAA
This 72-nucleotide transfer RNA is filed under the name Urocitellus parryii (Arctic ground squirrel). RNAcentral's name for it is "Spermophilus parryii (Arctic ground squirrel) tRNA". It matches the Rfam family "tRNA". From Rfam's summary of the family: Transfer RNA (tRNA) molecules are approximately 80 nucleotides in length. Their secondary structure includes four short double-helical elements and three loops (D, anti-codon, and T loops). RNAcentral also lists the same sequence under 2 other names. Lineage: Eukaryota; Metazoa; Chordata; Mammalia; Rodentia; Sciuridae. The record is from Rfam by way of RNAcentral.